Long non-coding RNA from Gigantopelta aegis, 650 nucleotides. RefSeq lists it as uncharacterized. The transcript has 4 exons. NCBI's taxonomy places the organism in Eukaryota, Metazoa, Mollusca, Gastropoda, Neomphalida, Peltospiridae. The record is from RefSeq and is a predicted model, not a curated record.
AAAUGGUAUCAAACGGACACGAAUGUAGUAUUCUAUUUCUUACAUACCUCGAAAAAAUGAAAAUGUAAACAAUAUAAUGAACUAAAUUAUGUUGUUACAGAACGUAGCCUAACUGGGUCAUGGCGUAUGGAGUGUAAAGUGACGUCACCCCAUUUCAUUUCCACCGGAGUCAGAAUGUAAAGUGACGUCACUCCACUUUCGAUCGCUUUGGUUACUGGGUCAUGACCUCUCAGAGCUGCCAGUUGUAUGUCUUGAAAUUGUUAACACACGUACAUGUGUAAACAAAUAUGUGUUAUCAAAAAUAACGAAUGAUGUUCUCACCAAUGGGUGUGUAAGAAAGUAAAUCCACUGUAGACUGGCUGUUUACGGUUACCAGGCGACCACCAAUACUGUGACACACGUGAGAUGCCGUGUUCCACGACUGGGCUUAGGCGCGAUUAUUUCAUAACACUUGCUGUGGUGUCCUAAUUACCGGGAACCUGCCGUCAAUUGUUAAAAGGUGACCACUGGCAGACAGUAGAAUUCUUUCUCCUGCUGCAGACAGAAUCUGAUGUCCUCGCCCUCUGUCUGUCUGGUCUCUCGUGUGUACAGCGGGCGCUGGUUUGGAAUUGCACAACAUUUACCCCUGUUCCAAAUAAACAAAACAAAAA